UACCUACGGGGCGCAGCAGUAGGGAAUCUUCCACAAUGGACGAAAGUCUGAUGGAGCAACGCCGCGUGAGUGAAGAAGGGUUUCGGCUCGUAAAGAUCUGUUGGUAGUGAAGAAAGAUAGAGGUAGUAACUGGCCUUUAUUUGACGGUAAUUACUUAGAAAGUCACGGCUAACCACGUGCCAGCAGCCGCGGUAAUACGUAGGUGGCAAGCGUUGUCCGGAUUUAUUGGGCGUAAAGUGAGGGCAGGCGGGUCUA
Molecule: ribosomal RNA, 255 nt
Filed under: uncultured bacterium
Lineage: Bacteria
Description: partial 16S ribosomal RNA
Rfam family: Bacterial small subunit ribosomal RNA
Source: RNAcentral